UCCUGCGCUUUUGCGCCUUGUCUUGACGAAAAAUCUCUCGCCGGCAGGCCGGCGGAUAUUUUUCUUUUCCGCCGCCGUGGGAUAACGAGGUGGGGAGCGAUCGAAAAUUCGGCGGAUGCUCCUCCGCAUCGUCCGGAUGCGCACACAGCUCAUAAAUAUGCGGGAGACCGCAAAACAGAGGGGCUGUGACCGGAUGCG
This 198-nucleotide non-coding RNA is filed under the name Bacillota bacterium. RNAcentral describes it as "Firmicutes bacterium GlcN6P sequence". It matches the Rfam family "glmS glucosamine-6-phosphate activated ribozyme aptamer". From Rfam's summary of the family: This entry contains a glucosamine-6-phosphate activated ribozyme that is found in the mRNA for GlmS. Lineage: Bacteria; Bacillati; Bacillota. The record is from RNAcentral.